This 42-nucleotide transfer RNA is filed under the name Tripodanthus acutifolius. RNAcentral describes it as "partial tRNA-Phe". The record is from RNAcentral. Lineage: Eukaryota; Viridiplantae; Streptophyta; Magnoliopsida; Santalales; Loranthaceae.
UGGGAUAGCUCAGUUGGUAGAGCAGAGGACUGAAAAUCCUCG